RNAcentral lists this long non-coding RNA (299 nucleotides) under Elaeis guineensis (African oil palm). RNAcentral's name for it is "long non-coding RNA (EGUI_LNC027222)". Lineage: Eukaryota; Viridiplantae; Streptophyta; Magnoliopsida; Arecales; Arecaceae. The record is from RNAcentral.
GGCAUACUUAUUGAUCUUCUCAACAAAAAGAAAAAAAGGAACAAAGAGAAAAACUAGAGAAGAAGAAGUAAGAAUGGAUAUGUGUACUGAUCUUGAGACAAGGUUGCUGAAUCAUGGAAAGAGGGCCAAACAUCUUUAAUCUCUGCUAUGAAGCCACCACACGUGACCACUAUGCAACUUUAAUCAUUAGCUCCAUAUACACAAUGAGGAACAAAACUGUACAUGCUUUUCCAAAGAACAAACAAAAACACCCCCCCUCUCUCCAUCUCUCUAUCUCUCUCUCUCUCUCUCUCUCACUC